RNAcentral lists this long non-coding RNA (222 nucleotides) under Homo sapiens (human). RNAcentral's name for it is "non-protein coding LINC01697:37". The record is from RNAcentral. Lineage: Eukaryota; Metazoa; Chordata; Mammalia; Primates; Hominidae.
GGAUGGAUCUUUGUGUUGCCAGGCAGGAAUGGGCUGCUUGGGGACCCAGUGAGCUCCGAGGGCCUUUCUGCUGCUUCCUGUACCCCUGUAUUUCGCUCAGCUCUCUGACUUGACUCAGCUCCAGGAGGAAUCUGCAUAGAUUAGACGAAAAAGUUAAAAGGAGUAUGAAUGAAAAAACUACGUGUACAAGAUGUCCAAGAUGAACAAAACUAUACAAUAAAG